AGUUAGAGCCCUUCAGUGUCAGAGCCAGUCAGAGUCAGAGCCAGUCAGAGUCGGUGUCAGAGCCAGUCAGAGUUAGAGCCAGUCAGAGUCAGAGUCCGUCAGAGUCGGUGUCAGAGUUAGAGCCAGUCAGAGUUAGAGCCAGUCAGAGUUAGAGCCAGUCAGAGUCAGAGUUAGAGCCAGUCAGAGUCAGAGCCAGUCAGAGUCAGAGCCAGUCAGAGUCAGAGCCAGUCAGAGUCAGAGUCAGAGUUAGAGCCAGUCAGAGUCAGAGCCAGUCAGAGUUAGAGCCAGUCAGAGUUAGAGCCAGUCAGAGUUAGAGCCAGUCAGAGUUAGAGCCAGUCAGAGUCAGAGUCGGUGUCAGAGUUAGAGCCAGUCAGAGUUAGAGCCAGUCAGAGGCAGAGCCAGUCAGAGUUAGAGCCAGUCAGAGUUAGAGCCAGUCAGAGUUAGAGCCAGUCAGAGUUAGAGCCAGUCAGAGUCAGAAUUAGAGCCAGUCAGAGUCAGAGCCAGUCAGAGGCAGAGCCAGUCAGAGUUAGAGCCAGUGUCAGAGUCGGUGUCAGAGCCGGUCAGAGUCAGAGCCAGCCAGAGGCAGAGCCAGUCAGAGUUAGAGUCGGU
This is a long non-coding RNA of Oncorhynchus tshawytscha (Chinook salmon), 609 nucleotides long. The record is from Ensembl. Lineage: Eukaryota; Metazoa; Chordata; Actinopteri; Salmoniformes; Salmonidae.